This 2110-nucleotide ribosomal RNA is filed under the name activated sludge metagenome. RNAcentral describes it as "bacterial LSU rRNA". It matches the Rfam family "Bacterial large subunit ribosomal RNA", at positions 14 to 2317 of the family's 2925-position model. The record is from RNAcentral.
AGGGCAUUUGGUGGAUGCCUUGGCGUUGAGAGGCGAUGAAGGACGUGGCACGCUGCGAUAAGCCGUGGGGAGGGGUGAGCACCCGUUGAUCCGCGGAUUUCCUAAUGGGGAAACCCGGCCCGCAAGGGUCAUCUCGCAAGAGAGGCGAACCCGGAGAACUGAAACAUCUCAGUACCCGGAGGAAAGGACAUCAACAGAGACUCCGUGAGUAGUGGCGAGCGAAAGCGGAUCAGGCCAGUGGCCUUGAGCUAAGAACCGGAACGGCAUGGAAAGGCCGGCCAAAGCGGGUGAUAGCCCCGUACGGGUAGAAAGGCUCGAGGUCCUUGAGUAAGGCGGGACACGUGUAAUCCUGUCUGAACAUGGGGGGACCACCCUCCAAGCCUAAGUACUCCUCAACGACCGAUAGCGAACGAGUACCGUGAGGGAAAGGUGAAAAGCACCCCGACGAGGGGAGUGAAAUAGACCUGAAACCGGAUGCCUACAAACAGAGGGAGCCGCAAGGUGACCUCGUACCUUUUGUAUAAUGGGUCAGCGAGUUCGUUCGUGCAGCAUGCUUAAGCCGUUAGGCGUAGGCGGAGCGAAAGCGAGUCUGAAUAGGGCGCGAAGUUGCACGGAUGAGACCCGAAACCAAGUGAUCUAGCCAUGAGCAGGUUGAAGGUGCGGUAACACGCACUGGAGGACCGAACCCACGCCUGUUGAAAAAGUCGGGGAUGACUUGUGGUUAGGGGUGAAAGGCCAAUCAAACUUGGAGAUAGCUGGUUCUCCGCGAAAGCUAUUGAGGUAGCGCGGCAGACGAAUUCCUUCGGGGGUAGAGCACUGGAUGGGCUAGGGGGUCUCAACCACUUACCAAACCUAACCAAACUCCGAAUACCGAAGAGAACUAUCUGCCAGACAGACGGCGGGUGCUAACGUCCGUCGUCGAGAGGGAAAAAACCCUGAUCGCCGUCUAAGGUCCCCAAGUCAUGGCUAAGUGGGAAAGGAUGUGGAGAUCCCCUGACAACCAGGAUGUUGGCUUAGAAGCAGCCAUCAUUUAAAGAAAGCGUAACAGCUCACUGGUCGAGGGUCUCUGCGCCGAAAAUGUAACGGGGCUCAAGCCAUGCACCGAAGACGCGGGUUCGACAGCAAUGUCGAGCGGUAGCGGAGCGUUCCGUAGGCCUGUGAAGGUGAACCGUGAGGUUUGCUGGAGGUAUCGGAAGUGCGAAUGCUGACAUGAGUAACGACAAAGAGGGUGAAAGACCCUCUCGCCGUAAGCCCAAGGGUUCCUGCGUAAAGUUAAUCUGCGCAGGGUUAGCCGGCCCCUAAGCCGAGGCCGAAAGGCGUAGGCGAUGGGAACCACGUUAAUAAUCGUGGGCCUGGAGAUGAGUGACGGAUCCAAUCUUUUGUUCGCCCUUAUCGGAUUGGGCGGGCGGGGGUGCGGGUUCCAGGAAAUAGCCUCUCCACUAUAGACCGUACCCGAAACCGACACAGGUGGGCUGGUUGAGCAUACUCAGGCGCUUGAGAGAACUGUAUCGAAGGAACUAGGCAAAUUACCCUCGUAACUUCGGGAGAAGAGGGCCCAUUCAGAGCGCAAGCUUUGGGUGGGGGCACAAGCCAGGGGGUGGCGACUGUUUAUUAAAAACACAGGGCUCUGCGAAGCCGCAAGGCGACGUAUAGGGUCUGACGCCUGCCCGGUGCCGGAAGGUUAAGAGGAGAGGUGCAAGCCUUGAAUCGAAGCCCCGGUAAACGGCGGCCGUAACUAUAACGGUCCUAAGGUAGCGAAAUUCCUUGUCGGGUAAGUUCCGACCUGCACGAAUGGCGUAACGACUUCCCCACUGUCUCCAGCAUAGGCUCAGCGAAAUUGAAUUCCCCGUGAAGAUGCGGGGUUCCCGCGGUCAGACGGAAAGACCCCGUGCACCUUUACUGCAGCUUUGCAUUGGCGUUAGAGACGGCAUGUGUAGGAUAGGUGGUAGGCUUUGAAGCAUGGGCGCCAGCUCGUGUGGAGCCACCCUUGAAAUACCACCCUUGCUUUCUUUGACGUCUAACCGAGCCGUAACAACGGCCGGGACCUUGCAUGGCGGGCAGUUUGACUGGGGCGGUCGCCUCCCAAAGAGUAACGGAGGCGCGCGAUGGU